RNAcentral lists this ribosomal RNA (458 nucleotides) under uncultured bacterium. RNAcentral describes it as "bacterial SSU rRNA". It matches the Rfam family "Bacterial small subunit ribosomal RNA", at positions 340 to 786 of the family's 1533-position model. The record is from RNAcentral.
UACGGAAGGCAGCAGGUGGGGAAUAUUGCACAAUGGGCGAAAGCCUGAUGCAGCUAUGCCGCGUGUAUGAAGAAGGCCUUAGGGUUGUAAAGUACUUUCAUCGGGGAGGAAAAAACAAAACUAAUAAUUUUAUUUCUUGACGUUACCCGAAAAAGAAGCACCGGCUAACUCCGUGCCAGCAGCCGCGGUAAUACGGAGGGUGCUAGCGUUAAUCAGAAUUACUGGGCGUAAAGAGCACGUAGGUGGUUUUUUUAAGUCAGAUGUGAAAUCCCUGGGCUUAACCUAGGAACUGCAUUUUGAAACUGAAAUACUAGAGUAUCGUAGAGGGAGGUGGAAUUCUAGGUGUAGCGGUGAAAUGCGUAGAUAUCUGGAGGAAUACCUGUGGCGAAAGCGGCCUCCUAAACGAAUACUGACACUGAGGUGCGAAAGCGUGGGGAGCAAAACAGGGAUUAGAUACC